GAUUGAAACACCGGUUCCCGUACGAUCACCGAAGUUAAGCAACGUUGAGCUUGGUCAGUACCUAGAUGG
This is a non-coding RNA of Acanthosepion pharaonis, 69 nucleotides long. NCBI's taxonomy places the organism in Eukaryota, Metazoa, Mollusca, Cephalopoda, Sepiida, Sepiidae. The record is from the annotation of a GenBank genome assembly.